UACGGAGGGUGCAAGCGUUAUCCGGAUUCACUGGGUUUAAAGGGUGCGUAGGUGGGCCUGUAAGUCAGCGGUGAAAUCCUGUUGCUUAACAACAGAACUGCCAUUGAUACUGUUUGGCUUGAGUAUAGUUGCUGUGGGCGGAAUAUGACAUGUAGUGGUGAAAUACAUAGAGAUGUCAUAGAACACCGAUUGCGAAGGCAGCUCACAAAACUAUAACUGACGCUGAGGCACGAAAGUGCGGGGAUCAAACAGG
Molecule: ribosomal RNA, 253 nt
Filed under: uncultured prokaryote
Description: partial 16S ribosomal RNA
Rfam family: Bacterial small subunit ribosomal RNA
Source: RNAcentral